This 503-nucleotide ribosomal RNA is filed under the name uncultured bacterium. Its description in RNAcentral is "partial 16S ribosomal RNA". It matches the Rfam family "Bacterial small subunit ribosomal RNA", at positions 28 to 523 of the family's 1533-position model. The record is from RNAcentral.
GAUGAACGCUAGCGAUAGGCCUAACACAUGCAAGUCGAGGGGCAUCACGGAGUAGCAAUACUUUGGUGGCGACCGGCGCACGGGUGAGUAACGCGUAUGCAAUCUACCUACAACAGGGGGAUAACCCGGAGAAAUCCGGACUAAUAUCGCAUAACACAGGGGUCCCGCAUGGGAAUAUGUGUUAAAGAUUUAUCGGUUGUAGAUGAGCAUGCGUUCCAUUAGGUAGUUGGUGAGGUAACGGCCCGCCAAGCCUGCGAUGGAUAGGGGAACUGAGAGGUUUGUCCCCCACACUGGAACUGAGACACGGACCAGACUCCUACGGGAGGCAGCAGUGAGGAAUAUUGGUCAAUGGGCGAGAGCCUGAACCAGCCAAAUCGCGUGAAGGAAGACUGCCUUAUGGGUUGUAAACUUCUUUUGUACAGGAAUAAAAAGAGGGACGUGUCCUUCAUUGCAUGUACUGUACGAAUAAGCAUCGGCUAACUCCGUGCCAGCCGCCGCCGUAA